This 484-nucleotide ribosomal RNA is filed under the name uncultured bacterium. Its description in RNAcentral is "bacterial SSU rRNA". It matches the Rfam family "Bacterial small subunit ribosomal RNA", at positions 37 to 518 of the family's 1533-position model. The record is from RNAcentral.
UAGCUACAGGCUUAACACAUGCAAGUCGAGGGGUAGCAGGGUAGCAAUACCGCUGACGACCGGCGCACGGGUGAGUAACACGUAUCCAACCUUCCCAUAACUCAGGGAUAGCCUUUCGAAAGAAAGAUUAAUACCUGAUAGUACUUUUUCAAGGCAUCUUGAGAAAGUUAAAGAUUUAUUGGUUAUGGAUGGGGAUGCGUUCCAUUAGAUAGUUGGUGAGGUAACGGCUCACCAAGUCUUCGAUGGAUAGGGGUUCUGAGAGGAAGGUCCCCCACAUUGGUACUGAGACACGGACCAAACUCCUACGGGAGGCAGCAGUGAGGAAUAUUGGUCAAUGGGCGAGAGCCUGAACCAGCCAAGUAGCGUGAAGGAUGAAGGUCCUAUGGAUUGUAAACUUCUUUUAUAGUAGAAUAAAGUGAUCCACGUGUGGAUUUUUGUAUGUAUACUAUGAAUAAGGAUCGGCUAACUCCGUGCCAGCAGCGGC